GUAGUCCACGCCCUAAACGAUGAGUACUAAACGUUGGGUAAAACCAGUGUUGAAGUUAACACAUUAAGUACUCCGCCUGAGUAGUACGUACGCAAGUAUGAAACUUAAAGGAAUUGACGGGACUCCGCACAAGCGGUGGAUCAUGUUGUUUAAUUCGAAGGUACCCGAAAAACCUCACCAGGUCUUGACAUGCUUUUGCAAAGCUGUAGAAAUACAGUGGAGGUUAUCAAUUGCACAGGUGGUGCAUGGUUGUCGUCAGCUCGUGUCGUGAGAUGUUGGGUUAAGUCCCGCAACGAGCGCAACCCUUGUUGUUAAUUGCCAGCAUGUAAUGAUGGGGACUUUAGCAAGACUGCCAGUGAUAAAUUGGAGGAAGGUGGGGACGACGUCAAAUCAUCAUGCCCCUUAUGACCUGGGCUACAAACGUGAUACAAUGGCUGUUACAAAGGGUAGCUAAAGCGCAAGCUUUUGGCGAAUCUCAAAAAAGCAGUCUCAGUUCGGAUUGAAGUCUGCAACUCGACUUCAUGAAGUUGGAAUCGCUAGUAAUCGCGAAUCAGCAUGUCGCGGUGAAUACGUUCUCGGGGUUUGUACACACCGCCCGUCAAACCACGAAAGUUGGCAAUACCCAAAACCGGUGGCCUAACUUGAGCAAUCAAGAGGGAGCCGUCUAAGGUAGGGUUGAUGAUUGGGGUU
Molecule: ribosomal RNA, 690 nt
Filed under: uncultured bacterium
Lineage: Bacteria
Description: bacterial SSU rRNA
Rfam family: Bacterial small subunit ribosomal RNA
Source: RNAcentral